GUUUACGUUUUAUGUUUUGUACGUUUACAGAAACUCGCAAUACGGCAAUACGCGUUAUUUUUUAAAGCCAUUUGGCAGCCCCCUGGCAUUUCGGGGGGGAAGGGGGAAAUCCAAAAAAGAAAUCCAAGCGCGGAGAAAAAGAUUUCUCCACCGCUUAAAAAAACCUCCUUUUAUUUCGCAUCCUCACCCACCCCCAAAUCCCUUAAUUCGGGGGGGCGGCCAAAAGCAAAACGGAAAACAGUUCACAAAAGGGGUUCCCUGAAAAGGCGGCGGGAAAAAAACCCGCGCACGCCUUUUGGGGCUUUCGUUUUGUUAAUGAUCCAACCGCAGGUUCACCUACGGUUA
Molecule: unclassified non-coding RNA, 345 nt
Filed under: uncultured fungus
Lineage: Eukaryota; Fungi
Description: sequence contains ITS1
Source: RNAcentral